This 261-nucleotide ribosomal RNA is filed under the name uncultured bacterium. RNAcentral describes it as "partial 16S ribosomal RNA". It matches the Rfam family "Bacterial small subunit ribosomal RNA", at positions 1240 to 1500 of the family's 1533-position model. The record is from RNAcentral.
CAACGAGUCGCAAGACCGCGAGGUUUAGCAAAUCUCUUAAAGCCGUUCUCAGUUCGGAUUGUAGGNUGCAACUCGCCUACAUGAAGUCGGAAUCGCUAGUAAUCGCGGAUCAGCAUGCCGCGGUGAAUACGUUCCCGGGCCUUGUACACACCGCCCGUCACACCAUGAGAGUUUGUAACACCCAAAGCCGGUGGGGUAACCUUUUGGAGCCAGCCGUCUAAGGUGGGACAGAUGAUUGGGGUGAAGUCGUAACAAGGUACC